This 468-nucleotide ribosomal RNA is filed under the name uncultured bacterium. RNAcentral's name for it is "partial 16S ribosomal RNA". It matches the Rfam family "Bacterial small subunit ribosomal RNA", at positions 28 to 507 of the family's 1533-position model. The record is from RNAcentral.
GACGAACGCUGGCGGCGUGCUUAACACAUGCAAGUCGAACGGAAAGGCCCUGCUUUUGUGGGGUGCUCGAGUGGCGAACGGGUGAGUAACACGUGAGUAACCUGCCCUUGACUUUGGGAUAACUUCAGGAAACUGGGGCUAAUACCGGAUAGGAGCUCCUGCUGCAUGGUGGGGGUUGGAAAGUUUCGGCGGUUGGGGCUGGACUCGCGGCUUAUCAGCUUGUUGGUGGGGUAGUGGCUUACCAAGGCUUUGACGGGUAGCCGGCCUGAGAGGGUGACCGGCCACAUUGGGACUAAGAUACGGCCCAGACUCCUACGGGAGGCAGCAGUGGGGAAUAUUGCACAAUGGGCGGAAGCCUGAUGCAGCAACGCCGCGUGCGGGAUGACGGCCUUCGGGUUGUAAACCGCUUUCGCCUGUGACGAAGCGUGAGUGAGGGUAAUGGGUAAAGAAGCACCGGCUAACUACGUG